Erpetoichthys calabaricus (reedfish) is the source of this 941-nucleotide long non-coding RNA. RefSeq lists it as uncharacterized. NCBI's taxonomy places the organism in Eukaryota, Metazoa, Chordata, Cladistia, Polypteriformes, Polypteridae. The record is from RefSeq and is a predicted model, not a curated record. The transcript is spliced from 3 exons.
AAAUUCUUGCAACCUUCUGACCAUUUUAACUGAAAUGAUUUUUACUGGCCUUUACACUAGUUUCUUAUUUAUUGAUUUUUGGAUGUUGAACUCUGGACUUUCCCAGCAAGCAUCUAACGCAAGUCAGGAGCAAUCAGGCCCUGCUUAGGACAAGUGAGUUUAAAAAUGGAUUGGUGAAUGGACUGUGGACUUUGGCUGUUUUCUGUGCUUGGAAUUUAGUAGGACCUCCUGUUUGUCCUGCCUAGCAAGAUAUCAUUGAAGAUGUCGAAAUAAAAUUCCAACAAGUGAAAGACAUUGUCAGAGAAAGCAAUCCUCAAGGGUUAGAAACAACUACAGUAAACGAAUAAUACAUCAACAGGAUUUAAAGUCGGGUCUUCGACCAGAACCUGAAUUUAUGGACACCAUAACAGCACUUUCAAAGAGACAUUCAGACCGAGAGAUUCACUCAUGUAGCAAGACUUUAAAAUGACAAGGAUGGAAUCACCUAUUCUCAGUGUUAUUGUCUAGCAAGCCACCAACAAUUGUAAACAACUAAAUGAUGAAGCCUGAUGAGCAGAAUGGUCUCGCCUUGUCUGCCAAAAGUCUUAUUCUAUCACUGAGACUGUUUCUUAAACUAUUGUUAAACAUGCCUUUCUCUGUGAAACAAUAUUCAAUGAGAAGAUGGCCAUUACGAGCAUUUGAACCUGAGAAGCCCUGGCCCAACCAGUCCAGACAGUAUAAGGGUGGAUAUCCUCAGAAGGUGGUGUUGCAUUUUGGACCAGAGCACUCAAACGAUUGGAACUCCUGUAAAGCCCGACAUUUCACUUUGAUGGUGCUAGAAGGCAAACUUGAGAUGAUUACCUGUAUUCUUUAUGGUUAAGUGCCACCAAUCACCUGUUGUGUUAGUUUCAUUUUUUGAAUUAAAUGGGUUUGAUGCAGUUGGCACCCAACCAUUUUUGGAA